This 498-nucleotide ribosomal RNA is filed under the name uncultured bacterium. RNAcentral's name for it is "partial 16S ribosomal RNA". It matches the Rfam family "Bacterial small subunit ribosomal RNA", at positions 30 to 523 of the family's 1533-position model. The record is from RNAcentral.
AUUGAACGCUAGCGGCAUGCCUUACACAUGCAAGUCGAACGGUAACAGGUCUUCGGAUGCUGACGAGUGGCGAACGGGUGAGUAAUACAUCGGAACGUGCCUAGUAGUGGGGGAUAACUACUCGAAAGAGUGGCUAAUACCGCAUGAGAUCUACGGAUGAAAGCAGGGGAUCGCAAGACCUUGUGCUACUAGAGCGGCCGAUGGCAGAUUAGGUAGUUGGUGGGAUAAAAGCUUACCAAGCCGACGAUCUGUAGCUGGUCUGAGAGGACGAUCAGCCACACUGGGACUGAGACACGGCCCAGACUCCGACGGGAGGCAGCAGUGGGGAAUUUUGGACAAUGGGCGCAAGCCUGAUCCAGCAAUGCCGCGUGCAGGAUGAAGGCCUUCGGGUUGUAAACUGCUUUUGUACGGAACGAAAAGCCCCGGGUUAAUACCCUGGGGUCAUGACGGUACCGUAAGAAUAAGCACCGGCUAACUACGUGCCAGCAGCCGCCGCAG